CCUACGGGCGGCAGCAGUAGGGAAUAUUGCUCAAUGGUGGAAACCCUGAAGCAGCAACGCCGCGUGGAGGAUGAAGGUUCUCGGAUUGUAAACCCCCUUUGUUAGAGAAGAUAAUGACGGUAUCUAACGAAUAAGCACCGUCUAACUCCGUGCCAGCAGCUGAGGUAAUACGGAGGGUGCAGGCGUUAUUCGGAAUCACUGGGCGUAAAGAGCGCGUAGGCGGGAUAGCAAGUCAGAUGUGAAAUGCUAUGGCUUAACCAUAGAACUGCAUUUGAAACUGUUAUUCUAGAGUAUGGGAGAGGUAGGUGGAAUUCUUGGUGUAGGGGUAAAAUCCGUAGAGAUCAAGAAGAAUACUGAUUGCGAAGGCGACCUGCUAGAGCAUAACUGACGCUGAUGCGCGAAGGCGUGGGGAGCGAACAGGAUUAGAUACCCCUGUAGUC
Molecule: ribosomal RNA, 440 nt
Filed under: uncultured bacterium
Lineage: Bacteria
Description: partial 16S ribosomal RNA
Rfam family: Bacterial small subunit ribosomal RNA
Source: RNAcentral